This 204-nucleotide unclassified non-coding RNA is filed under the name Hevea brasiliensis (rubber tree). The record is from RNAcentral. Lineage: Eukaryota; Viridiplantae; Streptophyta; Magnoliopsida; Malpighiales; Euphorbiaceae.
GGAGAAGGUCAAUAAAUGGACACCUACUCAGCUUACUUGAUAGUCCAAGUUAGGUCUCGAGAAGCACUGAAAUUUAACGUUCAUUCAUUUAUAUUUAUCAAUUUGGAACAAACCAAAUACAAGUUCCUAUAUGAAGGUCAUGUUUUAUUGAAAUAAAUUUCAAAACUCAUAGACAAAUAUAAGUUGGAAAAGCCACCAUCAAAG